This 429-nucleotide ribosomal RNA is filed under the name uncultured bacterium. RNAcentral describes it as "bacterial SSU rRNA". It matches the Rfam family "Bacterial small subunit ribosomal RNA", at positions 355 to 775 of the family's 1533-position model. The record is from RNAcentral.
UGGGGAAUUGUUCGCAAUGGGCGCAAGCCUGACGACGCAACGCCGCGUGGAGGAUGAAGAAUUUCGGUUCGUAAACUCCUUUCGAUCGGGACGAAUCGGUCACGGCCUAAUACGCCGUGGCACUGACGGUACCGAGAGAAGAAGCCCCGGCUAACUCCGUGCCAGCAGCCGCGGUAAUACGGGGGGGGCAAGCGUUGUUCGGAAUUACUGGGCGUAAAGGGCGCGUAGGCGGCCUGCUAAGUCGGACGUGAAAUCCCUCGGCCCAACCGAGGAACUGCGUCCGAUACUGGUGGGCUUGAAUCCGGGAGAGGGAUGUGGAAUUCCAGGUGUAGCGGUGAAAUGCGUAGAUAUCUGGAGGAACACCGGUGGCGAAGGCGGCAUCCUGGACCGGUAUUGACGCUGAGGCGCGAAAGCUAGGGGAGCAAACGG